UCUCUCUCUCUCUCCUGCUGCAUUGUGAAGAAACUGCUUGCUUCCCUCUCACCCUCUGCAGUUUCCUGAGGCCUCCCCAGCCAUGCGGAACGGGUCUUGCUCUGUCACCCAGGCUGGAGUGCAGUGACACAAUGCUGGCUCAACCUCCUGGGCUCAAGAGAUCCUUCCACCUCGGCCUCCUGAGUAGCUGGGAUCACAGAACCUUCCACUGGCCACUCAGCGAAAGGCAGCUGAUUCAGCACCUGGAGAAGACCGGCAACAGGGCUGAGUUUCCUUGCACUGCAGAGGAGGGGAGAGGCAAGGAGUGGACAUGAGCACGGAGGAUCCAGGGCACUCCCUUGAUGGUGAUGCCCUCGAAGGGCUGCCCCGUGCCCAUUGUACAGAAUGUGGAUUCCACCCCACGCCAUGAGAGCUCUCGCGCAGGCCCAGACCACUUUAUAAGCCAUAUUUCCCACCAAUUCCUGUUUCUGGAUCUGUCAGGUUAUUUCAUAUUUCUAGGCCCUUAGCUUUGCUUCCUCUUCCCUGAACGCCCUUUGCCCACAUCAUCCCAGCUCUCCUUCUCCUCCUGCCUUCUGUCUUCUCUUCCUCUCAUUUCUUGUCACCCAGGCUGGAGUCCAGUGGCGUGAUCACGGCUCACUACAGCCUUGAACUCCCGGGCUCAGGUGAUCCUCCCACCUGAGCCUCCCGAGUAGCUGGGACUACAGAUGCACACCACCAUGCCAGCUAAUUUUUAAAACUGUUUUUAGGGAUGGGGUCAUCUUCCUGUGUUGCCCAGGCUUGUCUCAAACUCCUGGGCUCAAGUGAUCCUCUCACCUCAGCCUUCCAAAGUGCUGGGAUUACAGGCAUGAGCCACAACAUCCAGCCCCUUUUCUCUUUUCUUACCCUUCUUUCCUAUUUUCUUUUCCAUUUUCUUUCCCUCCCUUCUUCUUUCUUUCCUAACUAUUAAGGAGUAGAUUGAAUUCAAGGUCUUUAUGUGUGUCAGUUUUUGUUUUCCAACAAAUAUUUCUUAAAAACCAACCAUUGAAACGUAAUGGUAACCACUGGCCCCUGUCUCCACCUCCACACCUAAGAAGCCCCAAAUCCAGAUGUGUCCAUUAAAAUCAGUCCAGAUCUUCUUUACC
Molecule: long non-coding RNA, 1121 nt
Filed under: Homo sapiens (human)
Lineage: Eukaryota; Metazoa; Chordata; Mammalia; Primates; Hominidae
Description: long intergenic non-protein coding RNA 958
Source: RNAcentral